Molecule: ribosomal RNA, 220 nt
Filed under: Glaesserella parasuis
Lineage: Bacteria; Pseudomonadati; Pseudomonadota; Gammaproteobacteria; Pasteurellales; Pasteurellaceae
Description: partial 16S ribosomal RNA
Rfam family: Bacterial small subunit ribosomal RNA
Source: RNAcentral
UUGAAUUGAAGAGUUUGAUCAUGGCUCAGAUUGAACGCUGGCGGCAGGCUUAACACAUGCAAGUCGAACGGUAGCAGGGAGGAAGCUUGCUUUCUUUGCUGACGAGUGGCGGACGGGUGAGUAAUGCUUGGGGAUCUGGCUUAUGGAGGGGGAUAACGACGGGAAACUGUCGCUAAUACCGCGUAAUGUCUAAGGACUAGAGGGUGGGACUUUCGGGCCA